CAGCAGUAGGGAAUCUUCCGCAAUGGACGAAAGUCUGACGGAGCAACGCCGCGUGAGCGAAGAAGGUCUUCGGAUCGUAAAGCUCUGUUGUCAGGGAAGAACAAGUGCCGUUCGAACAGGGCGGUACCUUGACGGUACCUGACGAGGAAGCCACGGCUAACUACGUGCCAGCCGCCGCGGUAA
RNAcentral lists this ribosomal RNA (183 nucleotides) under uncultured bacterium. RNAcentral describes it as "partial 16S ribosomal RNA". It matches the Rfam family "Bacterial small subunit ribosomal RNA", at positions 349 to 523 of the family's 1533-position model. The record is from RNAcentral.